AACGAACGCUGGCGGCAUGCCUAACACAUGCAAGUCGAACGAGACCUUCGGGUCUAGUGGCGCACGGGUGCGUAACGCGUGGGAACCUGCCCUUAGGUUCGGAAUAACUCCCCGAAAGGGGUGCUAAUACCGGAUAAUGUCUUCGGACCAAAGAUUUAUCGCCUUUGGAUGGGCCCGCGUUGGAUUAGCUAGUUGGUAGGGUAAAAGCCUACCAAGGCGACGAUCCAUAGCUGGUCUGAGAGGAUGAUCAGCCACACUGGGACUGAGACACGGCCCAGACCCCUACGGGGGGGAGGAGGGGGGAAUAUGGGAAAAUGGGGGAAAGCCUGAUCCAGCAAGGCCGGGUGAGUGAUGAAGGCCUUAGGGUUGUAAAGCUUUUUUACCCGGGAUGAUAAUGACAGUACCGGGAAAAUAAGCUCCGGCUAACUCCGU
This 432-nucleotide ribosomal RNA is filed under the name uncultured bacterium. RNAcentral describes it as "partial 16S ribosomal RNA". It matches the Rfam family "Bacterial small subunit ribosomal RNA", at positions 29 to 506 of the family's 1533-position model. The record is from RNAcentral.